This 369-nucleotide ribosomal RNA is filed under the name Triticum aestivum (bread wheat). RNAcentral describes it as "partial small subunit ribosomal RNA". Lineage: Eukaryota; Viridiplantae; Streptophyta; Magnoliopsida; Poales; Poaceae. The record is from RNAcentral.
AUGGAGCAGCGCCUCGCGGAGCUCGAGAAGCGCAUCGGCUCCCUUGAGGCGGGCGCUGCCAAGGGCCUCGAGGUGUCGCAUCCCGGCCGCCAGCUCGAGGAGCGCGUCGCCCGCCUCGAGGUCGACCACCAGAAGCAGACCGCGCGCAUCUUCGUCGAGAUCGAUCAGAAGAUGGUGACGCUCGAGCUGAAGCUGGACAAGGCCUCGUUCCAUCAGUACAAGGAGGUCCAGGCUGGGCUGAACAAUCUCCAGGUCAGGUGCGGCACUUCAUCUGUCGAGAUCCGGGCUCUUGCGGUCCCAUCAGCCGCACGCGAUAUUAAGGUGGACAAGCAGCACGUCCAGUGCCUUGUACAGAUCAAGAAGAAGUGA